This is a long non-coding RNA of Cyprinus carpio (common carp), 1383 nucleotides long. Lineage: Eukaryota; Metazoa; Chordata; Actinopteri; Cypriniformes; Cyprinidae. The record is from Ensembl.
UUGACUUGCAGUGAAUGCUGUGGCCCUGCGGCAGCAGUAUGGGUCUUUGUUCUCUCUGGCUUUGACUGAAUUGCCUUGUAAUUUAGGAAUUACAUUUAAUCUAAAGUUUAUUUUUAUUAGGCACAAAAGUCAGAGUCAAAAGGAAGUGGUCGGAAGAAGAGGUUGGGGCAGUUGAAAAGCAUAUGAUGCAUUUCAUACGCAGCUGUCGAGUUCCUAGGAAGACAAACUGUUUCUCAUGCCUGUUGGCUGAACCUGAGGCACUGAAAAACAGAGACUGGUCUAUGGAGUCAAUAUAAUGGAACAUAUAUAUGCAAGUUUUGCAAAAAAAAAAAGUUUUUAAAAAAAUUAUAAAAAAAAAGUUUUGCAAACAAAAAUAAAUUUUGCAAGAUAAAAAAUAAGGUCUUGAGCAAAAAAAAGUUUUGCAAACAGAAAUAAAUAAUUGCACAAAUUAAGAUAUAAUUCACUGCGAAAAUAAAUGACAGUUGUAAAAGAAGCUUAUGAACUUUGAUUCUAUUUUUAUCUCUGCAACACAUAUUUUCCAUGCUAACUCCUGCUAAUUCAUUUGCAACGCUCCAUUUAUUUUGCGUUUCAGUCAAGCAUGAGCUCGCGAUACCGUUUUCCCUUUGCGCUUCACUUUUCUGAGUGUUUCACUUCAUGGCAAGAACUCAAGAAACUGGGGCGUGUUCAGUGGGCCUGGGCACGCCCCCUCCCCGUGAAGCCACGUCAUUAGCUGGAGACGUAGAUUCGCAACAGGUUCGAAAGUCAACAUGGCAGAGCACAGGCCCGCGGGUGGAUUCCAGGUCAGUGGGCACAAUGAUGACACCAGGGUUGAAUUGGGGCGUUUGGUGAUGGAGAGACUGCUGUCCAAACUGCAGUAUGCAGUGAGUCGGCAGCCACUAGACUUGGAUUACUGGCAAUCUAUUUGCAGUCAUGAACUUACAGUAGGUGGCCAUCCAAAACGUUGCUUGUACCGCCGCCGUGGCGUCUGCAAAGUGCAUUUGCAGCUUUUGACCGCUGAGUGGCGCUUUAAUCACAAGUUAUCAAACAAGCGCAUCAAAGCACAUUUUCGCAAAUAGACGUCAGCUUUGCCUCGCUAAUGUGUUACAUUUGACGGCUGCAGUCAGGGAAAAUGAAAGAAAAACACUAUAGUUAAAAUAUUUAAUAUUCACAGAUGAAAGUUUGGUACUUAUGAAGUUAUGUGCAUUUCUUAGAACGAAUUCAAGCAGGAUAAAUGUCAAGCCUGUGCCUGUGCUUAUAUUUUCUCUAAGCUGCACAGUAUUAUACAAUAUUUUAGAUUUGACACAUUUAAUAGGUGUGCAGUAUUAUUUAUAUAAUAUGAAUUAUGUGUUAUAUUAUUCAAAAUAAAUUGUAGUUUACUUUGCA